CAGCCAUCCCGCGUGUAUGAUGAAGGCCUUCGGGUUGUAAAGUACUUUUGGCAGAGAAGAAAAGGUAUCUCCUAAUACGAGAUACUGCUGACGGUAUCUGCAGAAUAAGCACCGGCUAACUACGUGCCAGCAGCCGCGGUAAUACGUAGGGUGCAAGCGUUAAUCGGAAUUACUGGGCGUAAAGCGUGUGUAGGCGGUUCGGAAAGAAAGAUGUGAAAUCCCAGGGCUCAACCUUGGAACUGCAUUUUUAACUGCCGAGCUAGAGUAUGUCAGAGGGGGGUAGAAUUCCACGUGUAGCAGUGAAAUGCGUAGAUAUGUGGAGGAAUACCGAUGGCGAAGGCAGCCCCCUGGGAUAAUACUGACGCUCAGACACGAAAGCGUGGGGAGCAAACAGGAUUAGAUACCCUGGUAGUCCACGCCCUAAACGAUGUCAACUAGCUGUUGGGGCCGUUAGGCCUUAGUAGCGCAGCUAACGCGUGAAGUUGACCGCC
RNAcentral lists this ribosomal RNA (491 nucleotides) under beta proteobacterium I-05. RNAcentral describes it as "bacterial SSU rRNA". It matches the Rfam family "Bacterial small subunit ribosomal RNA", at positions 389 to 873 of the family's 1533-position model. RNAcentral also lists the same sequence under 2 other names. Lineage: Bacteria; Pseudomonadati; Pseudomonadota; Betaproteobacteria. The record is from RNAcentral.